This 75-nucleotide transfer RNA is filed under the name Candidatus Kinetoplastidibacterium crithidiae. RNAcentral's name for it is "Candidatus Kinetoplastibacterium crithidii tRNA-Arg". It matches the Rfam family "tRNA". Rfam says of the family: Transfer RNA (tRNA) molecules are approximately 80 nucleotides in length. RNAcentral also lists the same sequence under 2 other names. Lineage: Bacteria; Pseudomonadati; Pseudomonadota; Betaproteobacteria. The record is from RNAcentral.
GCAUCCGUAGUUCAAAGGAUAGAAUGAGGGCCUCCGAAGCUCUUGAUACAGGUUCAAUUCCUGUCGGAUGCGCCA